This 382-nucleotide transfer-messenger RNA is filed under the name Mycoplasma sp. Pen4. It matches the Rfam family "transfer-messenger RNA". From Rfam's summary of the family: Bacterial tmRNA, also known as 10Sa RNA or SsrA, is named for its dual tRNA and mRNA-like properties. The record is from Rfam by way of RNAcentral. Lineage: Bacteria; Bacillati; Mycoplasmatota; Mollicutes; Mycoplasmatales; Mycoplasmataceae. RNAcentral also lists the same sequence under 1 other name.
GGGGAUAUAAUGGUUUCGACACAUUCUUGGUUAUUGGCAUUGCAGUAGUGUGGCAGACUAUAAUUGCUACUAGGCUUUUCUAAAUGGAAAAGAAGAAAAACAAGUUUCAAACUACAACAUGUUUGCAAACAGAAACUUUUUCGCAUUCGCUUAAUAUAUAGAAGCAUGCAGCAUUCUUUAAACUUGCCUUAGGUUUCUAGAGUGUAGUCUUAUAAGGAUGGUUAUUGAUUUGACGAGUCAAUGAUGAAAUUUAGUCAAGUUUGUCUGAUAACUUUUUGUUUGUUUCAGUAUCUUAUGAGCUUUAUUUAAAAACAAAAUAAACUGUAGACGUGUCAAUGUUCUAAGUGUGUGGACAGGGGUUCGACUCCCCUUAUCUCCACCA